RNAcentral lists this ribosomal RNA (403 nucleotides) under uncultured bacterium. RNAcentral describes it as "partial 16S ribosomal RNA". It matches the Rfam family "Bacterial small subunit ribosomal RNA", at positions 28 to 526 of the family's 1533-position model. The record is from RNAcentral.
GACGAACGCUGGCGGCGUGCCUAAUACAUGCAAGUCGAACGCAGUGGGGACGGGUGAGUAACACGUGGGUAACCCCCCAUCAGAGGGGAGAACACUAGGAAACAGGUGCUAAACCGAUACGGAUGGAUGGACACGCGGUGCAUUAGCUAGUUGGGGAGGUAACGGCCCACCAAGGCCAUGAUGCAUAGCGGACCUGAGAGGGUGAGAGGCAAUACUGGGACUGAGACACGGCCCCAACUCCUACGUGAGGCAGCGGGGGGGAAACUUGGGCAAGGGUGUAAAGUCUGACCCAGCAACGCCGCGUGGGUGAAGUAGGUUUUCGGAUCGUAAACCCCUGGUGUUAGAGAAGCGGUAUCUAACCAGAAAGCCCCGGCUGACUACGUGCCAGCAGCCGCGGUAAUGC